RNAcentral lists this ribosomal RNA (484 nucleotides) under uncultured bacterium. RNAcentral describes it as "partial 16S ribosomal RNA". It matches the Rfam family "Bacterial small subunit ribosomal RNA", at positions 30 to 507 of the family's 1533-position model. The record is from RNAcentral.
AUUGAACGCUGGCGGCAGGCCUAACACAUGCAAGUCGAGCGGAUGAAGGGAGCUUGCUCCUGGAUUCAGCGGCGGACGGGUGUGUAAUGCCUAGGAAUCUGCCUGGUUGUGGUGGAUAACGUCCUCAAACGGGCGCUAAUACCGCCUACGUCCUGAUGGAGAAAGUGGGGGAUCUUCGGACCUCACGCUAUCAGAUGAGCCUAGGUCGGAUUGGCUAGUUGGUGGGGUAAAGGCCUACCAAGGCGACGAUCCGUAACUGGUCUGAGAGGAUGAUCAGUCACACUGGAACUGGGACACGGUCCAGACUCCUAAGGGAGGCAGCAGUGGGGAAUGUUGGACAAUGGGCGAAAGCCUGAUCCAGCCAUGCCGAGUGUGUGAAGAAGGUCUUCGGAUUGUAAAGCACUUUAAGUUGGGAGGAAGGGCAGUAAGUUAAUACCUUGCUGUUUUGACGUUACCAACAGAAUAAGCACCGGCUAACUUCGUG